This 1887-nucleotide ribosomal RNA is filed under the name Escherichia coli. RNAcentral describes it as "partial 23S ribosomal RNA". It matches the Rfam family "Bacterial large subunit ribosomal RNA", at positions 1061 to 2925 of the family's 2925-position model. Lineage: Bacteria; Pseudomonadati; Pseudomonadota; Gammaproteobacteria; Enterobacterales; Enterobacteriaceae. The record is from RNAcentral.
AAGUGGGAAACGAUGUGGGAAGGCCCAGACAGCCAGGAUGUUGGCUUAGAAGCAGCCAUCAUUUAAAGAAAGCGUAAUAGCUCACUGGUCGAGUCGGCCUGCGCGGAAGAUGUAACGGGGCUAAACCAUGCACCGAAGCUGCGGCAGCGACGCUUAUGCGUUGUUGGGUAGGGGAGCGUUCUGUAAGCCUGCGAAGGUGUGCUGUGAGGCAUGCUGGAGGUAUCAGAAGUGCGAAUGCUGACAUAAGUAACGAUAAAGCGGGUGAAAAGCCCGCUCGCCGGAAGACCAAGGGUUCCUGUCCAACGUUAAUCGGGGCAGGGUGAGUCGACCCCUAAGGCGAGGCCGAAAGGCGUAGUCGAUGGGAAACAGGUUAAUAUUCCUGUACUUGGUGUUACUGCGAAGGGGGGACGGAGAAGGCUAUGUUGGCCGGGCGACGGUUGUCCCGGUUUAAGCGUGUAGGCUGGUUUUCCAGGCAAAUCCGGAAAAUCAAGGCUGAGGCGUGAUGACGAGGCACUACGGUGCUGAAGCAACAAAUGCCCUGCUUCCAGGAAAAGCCUCUAAGCAUCAGGUAACAUCAAAUCGUACCCCAAACCGACACAGGUGGUCAGGUAGAGAAUACCAAGGCGCUUGAGAGAACUCGGGUGAAGGAACUAGGCAAAAUGGUGCCGUAACUUCGGGAGAAGGCACGCUGAUAUGUAGGUGAAGUCCCUCGCGGAUGGAGCUGAAAUCAGUCGAAGAUACCAGCUGGCUGCAACUGUUUAUUAAAAACACAGCACUGUGCAAACACGAAAGUGGACGUAUACGGUGUGACGCCUGCCCGGUGCCGGAAGGUUAAUUGAUGGGGUCAGCGCAAGCGAAGCUCUUGAUCGAAGCCCCGGUAAACGGCGGCCGUAACUAUAACGGUCCUAAGGUAGCGAAAUUCCUUGUCGGGUAAGUUCCGACCUGCACGAAUGGCGUAAUGAUGGCCAGGCUGUCUCCACCCGAGACUCAGUGAAAUUGAACUCGCUGUGAAGAUGCAGUGUACCCGCGGCAAGACGGAAAGACCCCGUGAACCUUUACUAUAGCUUGACACUGAACAUUGAGCCUUGAUGUGUAGGAUAGGUGGGAGGCUUUGAAGUGUGGACGCCAGUCUGCAUGGAGCCGACCUUGAAAUACCACCCUUUAAUGUUUGAUGUUCUAACGUUGACCCGUAAUCCGGGUUGCGGACAGUGUCUGGUGGGUAGUUUGACUGGGGCGGUCUCCUCCUAAAGAGUAACGGAGGAGCACGAAGGUUGGCUAAUCCUGGUCGGACAUCAGGAGGUUAGUGCAAUGGCAUAAGCCAGCUUGACUGCGAGCGUGACGGCGCGAGCAGGUGCGAAAGCAGGUCAUAGUGAUCCGGUGGUUCUGAAUGGAAGGGCCAUCGCUCAACGGAUAAAAGGUACUCCGGGGAUAACAGGCUGAUACCGCCCAAGAGUUCAUAUCGACGGCGGUGUUUGGCACCUCGAUGUCGGCUCAUCACAUCCUGGGGCUGAAGUAGGUCCCAAGGGUAUGGCUGUUCGCCAUUUAAAGUGGUACGCGAGCUGGGUUUAGAACGUCGUGAGACAGUUCGGUCCCUAUCUGCCGUGGGCGCUGGAGAACUGAGGGGGGCUGCUCCUAGUACGAGAGGACCGGAGUGGACGCAUCACUGGUGUUCGGGUUGUCAUGCCAAUGGCACUGCCCGGUAGCUAAAUGCGGAAGAGAUAAGUGCUGAAAGCAUCUAAGCACGAAACUUGCCCCGAGAUGAGUUCUCCCUGACUCCUUGAGAGUCCUGAAGGAACGUUGAAGACGACGACGUUGAUAGGCCGGGUGUGUAAGCGCAGCGAUGCGUUGAGCUAACCGGUACUAAUGAACCGUGAGGCUUAACCUUAC